AGAGUGCCCCGGCGUCUUUCUAGCCUCCGCCUCCAGGCGGGUGAGGAGGUGACACCUGAGAAUUCCUCCCUCUCACCCCUGACCCUGCCGGAAAGCGAAACUGAGAUGCGGGCAUUGGGCCCUGGGAAGCGUGGGGAAGGGGAAAGGAGAAAGCCAGAAAAUGGAGAAAUUAAGUCCUUUCCAUGGAUCAUUCCUUCUGUAAACAGAGAUCACAAAGCAAGAGCUUCAGCAUCCUCGUGAAAAAGACAUUUUGUUCUGGGUGUCAUCAUCUCCUUCCACUACAGCUUGCAAUUGGAACAAGCUUCACAUCCUGGGGGUGCUGCCUAUCUCUGUCUUGAUUUCUGUCUGUCUAUUCCUCCCAUUGACAGGAAUGUCGUUUGUAUCCUCCACGCAGCAGUUUGCAGAAAUCCAGCAAGGUUUAUGGUUUAUGUUGCCCAGCAUGUAUAAACACAACGCUCUCAAAUGCUUUUUAAAAAUCUAUGAAUUUGUUAGAUGUCUUCACAUCCUGGUCCUCCUACCCCAAUUCUCAAACACAAAGUACUCUGUUGCCCUAUUAUAGUCCUGCGAUAGUUCUGGCUAGGAUUAGGUUGACGGUCUAAGCCCCAAGAAAGGCCUGGCAUUUUCAUAGCAGGCUUUCCCCAGUGCUUUGAGUCUUCCUCUCUCACUCCCUUUUUCUUUUUCCCUCGGAGGAGGGGGUGUUGGGGGUGGGAGGUGAUUAGUAAAUGUUUCAGGUAAUCUGUGAAUUCUUAAUAGUCAUAUUUCCGUGGUGGAAGAUCUCCCUAUUUCUCUGAUGUGACAGGUUACAGAAACCUUGGUGUUGGGGGUUUUACAGAUAUUUACAAGUUCUAGGAGUUUGAACUUUGGGUCAAGAUGUUGAUUCCUUUUAAUGUGCGAGGGUGAAGGAGGUUUUAUUUUGCUUUAUUCUUUUGGAUAUUAUGAGAUGAGAUUGUAUCCAGUCUUGGCUGUAACCUAUACCAUAAAUGCAGAGCUGCAACCAUUAUUUCUGUCUCUUUCUCCUUUUAUCACCUACACUUCUAGAGAUAUUACUUUCAGUUUUAUUGCAAAUCAUCUGUGUCUUUAGUUUAAACCAUUAUUUUUCAUAUACCCCAGGCACAUUUCCCUUAUAAUGAGACAAAUUUUAGAUUAUUAAUGUUCCACCUAAAAGGAUACUGUACACUUUUCAUUGCCAAUAUGGGCUUUGAAGCUUAAAUAUCAACAUUUUUAUAGGAAAUUUACCCAUGUCAAAUUUAAAUAUAUUUGCUUAUAUUUCUUGGAAAAAAGAUUUUGGAUAACUAUCAAUUAAGCAGCCAAUUCCAUUUGGGGUGCAGAAAAUUUUGAGCCCCUUGAUAAGAAGGAACAAAAUUUUUCCUCUAAAUAACCAACUCUGGAUCAGAAAAACUGAACUUUUCUAAAUAUUUAUUAUUAACAAAACUUUUUUUUGUCUGAUUCCACUAGAAGCAUUCUAUGUUGUGAACACUAUAAAGUUAUCCUAUGUUGUGAACACCAUAAAGUUAUGAGGGAAAAAAUGUCAAAUCUAAAUUUUAUUUAGAAGUAACAUAUUGUUUUUCUGGACUUGCAAUCCAAUUCGAAUGCAUCGUUAGACUUUUCUGUUUUCUUAUGAUUAAACAACAAUGGCUUAAAAUGAUAGCAAGUCAACUGAAAAGUUGCUUUGGAAUAAAACAAAAGUGGGAAUGCCAACUUUCUUUUCUUCUCUAUAACUUCAUUAACAUGGUUGUAUAGACAUUUGCAUGUAAAAUGUAGCUAACAAAAAUUACACAGAAGUAAAUUUAGUCCUCUAGUGCCUACCUCUAUGGUGAAAUCAGACCAUUUGGCAUAGUUUGAAGUCUUCCAAGAAGCCUGGUUUCCACCUGGAAAAUAAAUUACUAAAUUUGAAUGUGUUACUUAUACUAUGGUGAGUUGUCUAUCUGUUACAUUUUAUUUUAGUGCAUAUACUAGAAAUUGUAUUUAGGGUGUUCUAAAAUUGUCAUCUGUCAAGGUAGAGAAUUAUAAUAA
RNAcentral lists this long non-coding RNA (2013 nucleotides) under Homo sapiens (human). Its description in RNAcentral is "non-protein coding LINC01806:16". Lineage: Eukaryota; Metazoa; Chordata; Mammalia; Primates; Hominidae. The record is from RNAcentral.